This 157-nucleotide ribosomal RNA is filed under the name Orbilia nemaspora. RNAcentral's name for it is "Orbilia sp. 4201 5.8S ribosomal RNA". It matches the Rfam family "5.8S ribosomal RNA". Rfam says of the family: 5.8S ribosomal RNA (5.8S rRNA) is a component of the large subunit of the eukaryotic ribosome. It is transcribed by RNA polymerase I as part of the 45S precursor that also contains 18S and 28S rRNA. Functionally, it is thought that 5.8S rRNA may be involved in ribosome translocation. The record is from RNAcentral. Lineage: Eukaryota; Fungi; Ascomycota; Orbiliomycetes; Orbiliales; Orbiliaceae.
AAACUUUCAACAACGGAUCUCUUGGUUCUCGCAUCGAUGAAGAACGCAGCGAAACGCGAUAGUUAAUGUGAAUUGCAGAAUUCAGUGAAUCAUCGAGUCUUUGAACGCACAUUGCGCCCAUUGGUAUUCCGAUGGGCAUGUCUGUUUGAGCGUCAUU